Molecule: ribosomal RNA, 482 nt
Filed under: uncultured bacterium
Lineage: Bacteria
Description: partial 16S ribosomal RNA
Rfam family: Bacterial small subunit ribosomal RNA
Source: RNAcentral
GACGAACGCUGGCGGCACGCUUAACACAUGCAAGUCGAACGGAGUUAAUUGGAGCUUGCUUUGAUUAACUUAGUGGCGGACGGGUGAGUAACACGUGAGCAACCUGCCUUUAAGAGAGGAAUAACAGUCUGAAAAGACUGCUAAUACCUCAUAACAUAACGAAGCCGCAUGACUUUGUUGUCAAAGAUUUAUCGCUUAAAGAUGGGCUCGCGUCUGAUUAGCUUGUUGGUGAGGUAACGGCCCACCAAGGCGACGAUCAGUAGCCGUACUGAGAGGUAGAUCGGCCACAUUGGGACUGAGACACGGCCCAGACUCCUACGGGAGGCAGCAGUGGGGAAUAUUGCACAAUGGAGGAAACUCUGAUGCAGCGAUGCCGCGUGAGGGAAGAAGGUUUUCGGAUUGUAAACCUCUGUCUUCAGGGACGAUAAUGACGGUACCUGAGGAGGAAGCUCCGGCUAACUACGUGCCAGCCGCCGCAGUAA